This 497-nucleotide ribosomal RNA is filed under the name uncultured bacterium. Its description in RNAcentral is "partial 16S ribosomal RNA". It matches the Rfam family "Bacterial small subunit ribosomal RNA", at positions 28 to 507 of the family's 1533-position model. The record is from RNAcentral.
GACGAACGCUGGCGGCGUGCCUAAUACAUGCAAGUUGAGCGCUGAAGGUUGGUACUUGUUCCGACUGGAUGAGCAGCGAACGGGUGAGUAACGCGUGGGGAAUCUGCCUUUGAGCGGGGGGCAACAUUUGGAAACGAAUGCUAAUACCGCAUAAAAACUUUAAACACAAGUUUUAAGUUUGAAAGAUGCAAUUGCAUCACUCAAAGAUGAUCCCGCGUUGUAUUAGCUAGUUGGUGGGGUAAAGGCUCACCAAGGCGAUGAUACAUAGCCGACCUGAGAGGGGGGACGGCCGCAUUGGGAAUGAGGAACGGCCCAAACCCCAAAGGGAGGCGGCAGGAGGGAAUCGUGGGCAAUGGACGAAGGGCGGACCGAGCAAGGCGGCGGGAGGGAAGAGGGUUGUCGGAUCGUAAAACUCUGUUGGUAGAGAAGAGCGUUGGUGAGAGUGGAAAGCUCAUCAAGUGACGGUAGCGACACAGAAAGGGACGGCUAACUACGUG